AACGAACGCUGGCGGCAGGCCUAACACAUGCAAGUCGAGCGAGGACUUCGGUUCUAGCGGCGGACGGGUGAGUAACGCGUGGGAAUGUGCCCUUCUCUACGGAAUAGCCCUGGGAAACUGGGAGUAAUACCGUAUACGCCCUAUUGGGGAAAGAUUUAUCGGAGAAGGAUCAGCCCGCGUUGGAUUAGGUAGUUGGUGGGGUAAUGGCCUACCAAGCCGACGAUCCAUAGCUGGUUUGAGAGGAUGAUCAGCCACACUGGGACUGAGACACGGCCCAGACUCCUACGGGAGGCAGCAGUGCGGAAUCUUAGACAAUCGGGGCAACCCUGAUCUAGCCCUGCCGCGUGAGUGAUGAAGGCCUUAGGGUUGUAAAGCUCUUUCAGCUGGGAAGAUAAUGACGGUACCAGCAGAAGAAGCCCCGGCUAACUACGUG
Molecule: ribosomal RNA, 433 nt
Filed under: uncultured bacterium
Lineage: Bacteria
Description: partial 16S ribosomal RNA
Rfam family: Bacterial small subunit ribosomal RNA
Source: RNAcentral